RNAcentral lists this ribosomal RNA (632 nucleotides) under Thelidium minutulum. RNAcentral describes it as "eukaryotic LSU rRNA". It matches the Rfam family "Eukaryotic large subunit ribosomal RNA", at positions 146 to 794 of the family's 3401-position model. The record is from RNAcentral. Lineage: Eukaryota; Fungi; Ascomycota; Eurotiomycetes; Verrucariales; Verrucariaceae.
UAAUUUGUAGAGGAUGCUUCGGGCAAGGCUGUGGUCUAAUUUGCUUGGAACAGCAGGUCAUAGAGGGUGAGAGUCCCGUCUAGGAUCGUGAGCCGCGUCCAUGUGAAGCUCCUUCGACGAGUCGAGUUGUUUGGGAAUGCAGCUCUAAAUGGGUGGUAAAUUUCAUCUAAAGCUAAAUAUUGGCCAGAGACCGAUAGCGCACAAGUAGAGUGAUCGAAAGAUGAAAAGCACUUUGAAAAGAGAGUUAAACAGUAUGUGAAAUUGUUGAAAGGGAAGCGCUUGCAAUCAGACUUGUGUGUGACGGUUCCCCMGGCCCUCGGGCCGGGCUAUUCCGUCACGUCCAGGCCAGCAUCGGUCUGGGUGGUCGGUUAAAGACCCCGGGAAUGUAUCUACCUUCGGGUCGACUUAUAGCCCGGGGUGCAAUGCGGCCCACCCGGACCGAGGAACGCGCUUCGGCUCGGAUGCUGGCGUAAUGGUUGUAAGCGGCCCGUCUUGAAACACGGACCANGGAGUCUAACAUCUAUGCGAGUGUUUGGGUGUCAAACCCCUACGCGUAAUGAAAGUGAACGGAGGUAAGAACCCUUAACCGGGCGCAUUAUCGACCGAUCCUGAUGUCUUCGGAUGGAUUUGAG